This 453-nucleotide long non-coding RNA is filed under the name Mytilus galloprovincialis (Mediterranean mussel). Lineage: Eukaryota; Metazoa; Mollusca; Bivalvia; Mytilida; Mytilidae. The record is from RNAcentral.
GUCUUUAAUUGUCUCUGAAUAGUACGAUAAACAGUAGAAUAUAUUUCAAGGUCAUCCCAAAAUUAUUUCAUCAAUAUCAGGUAUUACAAAUUACAUGUAUACAAAACAGAAAGGUGUGCAGACUGCUGCACAUAUAUAUAGUUAUUGUUGUUGCUCAUUCUGCUAAGCUGUUACAAAGGUGUCACUGUUCUCUGCAAUAAACAAGUCUUAAAAGAAGUUAUUAAUUGUACAUAUGCAUUUAGAAGUAAAAUUUUGCAAGCUGGUGAUUGCACACACACAUACUUAUAUAUAGUUUCUUCAGUAUUUUUGUUAGGUUACUACCACAGUCAACAGCAUGGGGAAUUAAAGGCAAUUCCAGGAUAGGUUUAGAUGCAUGUUUCAUUAAUUAACAAUAUUUAUAUAUAAGCAUUGCAGAUCUUUACUUCUCAUUUAAAAUAUUUUCUAAUUUGAGAU